CCUACGGGUGGCAGCAGUGAGGAAUAUUGGUCAAUGGGCGCGAGCCUGAACCAGCCAAGUAGCGUGAAGGAUGACUGCCCUAUGGGUUGUAAACUUCUUUUAUAAAAGGAUAAAGUUAGGCACGUGUGCCUUUUUGUAUGUAUUUUAUGAAUAAGGAUCGGCUAACUCCGUGCCAGCAGCCGCGGUAAUACGGAGGAUCCGAGCGUUAUCCGGAUUUAUUGGGUUUAAAGGGUGCAUAGUUGGGUUGUUAAGUCAGUUGUGAAAGGUUGGAGCUUAACCCGAGAAUUGCCAUUGAUACUGGUGGCCUAGAGUACAGUUGAGGUAGGCGGAAUGCAUGGUGUAGCGGUGAAAUGCUUAGAGAUCACGCAGAACUCCGAUUGCGAAGGCAGCCUACUAAGCUACAUCUGACAUUGAUGCACGAAAGUGUGGGUAGCAAACAGGAUUAGAUACCCCAGUAGUC
RNAcentral lists this ribosomal RNA (460 nucleotides) under uncultured bacterium. RNAcentral's name for it is "partial 16S ribosomal RNA". It matches the Rfam family "Bacterial small subunit ribosomal RNA", at positions 338 to 795 of the family's 1533-position model. The record is from RNAcentral.